UCUAUGGUUUUUGGUAAACAGUUGCAUCAUGCAAGCAUGUGUCAAAGAAAGACUCCACAAAGCUUCUCAAAUAUCAGCAAGAAGUGUAAAACAAGCUGAAGCUUAGUUUAUGUAAUUUCUUCUUCUAGUGUAGGCUAAAAUCAAACCUUCCUCAUUUGGCAGAAUGAGUGAAUUAGUUUCAUUUAUCAGUUUGACCAAAUAUAGAGAGUCUAUGGGCUACAAAGACAAUAAUGUUGAGAAACAAAUGAGAAACAAAGGUAUACCAGCUAAAACCAGAAUGAAAAUAAAACUUUUAACCAACUCCUGUAAACUGUAAAUCACAUAUAGAAAGACAAGAAUCCUAAGCAUAGGAGCUACAGCUCCUUAUUAACUAUAAUUUAAACAUACAUGAUAUAGAUAAAAUAAGUACAGUUUAUAAUAAACAAUGCUUUAAAAAUAAGAAUCCUGAACGACAACAGGAUUAUUUACAUUACAGCCACAUUAUGAUUACCUCACCAGCAUUAAA
Molecule: unclassified non-coding RNA, 505 nt
Filed under: Hevea brasiliensis (rubber tree)
Lineage: Eukaryota; Viridiplantae; Streptophyta; Magnoliopsida; Malpighiales; Euphorbiaceae
Source: RNAcentral